Long non-coding RNA from Chelonia mydas (Green sea turtle), 2057 nucleotides. RefSeq lists it as uncharacterized. The record is from RefSeq and is a predicted model, not a curated record. The transcript is spliced from 5 exons. NCBI's taxonomy places the organism in Eukaryota, Metazoa, Chordata, Testudines, Cheloniidae.
UACCAAGAAUGCUUUUGAUAUCAACUAAUAUAAACGCCUGGUCUAACAACAGGGAGAAGUCAGUACGGUUUUAAUGGUUUGGUCAAUUCAUAUUCUGGUAGGGACAAGACAAAUGAUAUUUUCUCCAGUCAUUUUUUAAAAUUUAGGGUCACUGUCAAGUAUUAAUUUAAUUAUUUUUAGUUGCACUUCCUUAAUAUAGGUUCUUCGUGUUUGCUAUGAAUGUAAAAAAAAUACCAGUUUGGGCAAAUUUCCUCUGUACUCAUUUAGCAUGAGUAACCUCCUUUUUCCUGAGCUGAUGUACAGAUUGCAUGGCAGCCCAAAAGAAGUCCAGUUGCUAAUGAGCUUUAGCUAUUCCAGGGAAUUUGACCCAAGGAAUGGAAUAUUAUGUUGUGGAAUUACAAAAUUCCAACUCCAGAGUAAACAUGUCUGGAACCUGGCAUCAUGUACAGAGCCACCUUAUAAUAUUGUUUCUCAUGAUCAUUUGUCCACUGUGGGGUGAGGAAGAAGAAAAUGAAUGUCUGUUGACUCCCAUCAAGACAUCUCCUGCUCUUAGUACGCAGGAUACUGGCAGCUGCACCAAAGAAGUAUUUUGUGCUAAAUAUAAAAGUGAUAGAUGACAAGAUGGGAAACUGUUAAUUACAGAAACAGGAGUAGCAAACAGGGGAGUUUUGCAAGGGAGUUCUCCAGAUGAAAGAGGAGCGGCUACAUGACCCUUGGGGUGAGUGUGUUGUCUGUUUGUUUGUUGUGUGUUUGCUGCUGGACUAUAGUAUAUAACGUAGUCUGUUUACAGGGGACUGAGUUUAGUGGCCUGCUAGGCAAGGCUGAGAGCUUCUUAACAAGGCCUUGAUCCCUAAUCCCUUUAGGAUCCAUUAACUAUUAACCAGGGGCAGGGCUAUUCAGGAAGAACAAGGGUUUAAAAAGCCAGCUCCUAAGUGACCAGAGGAGCUAGUGAACAGGAGCAGGAAACUGAGUGUUUUGCGAGGAAGUUUAGAGAGGGAGCCAGCUACAUUCUCUAAAUGUCUGGGAACGGCGAACUGCGGCCACUGGGAGCUGUGAGUGGCCGUACCUGCGGACACUCAGACUAACACUGCUGCCACUCUGCAACCUGCCAUCAGGAAACUCUGUGUAAGCCUGGAACUGAGCAUCAGGAAGUUUUUCCCUCUGGAUCCCUGGGCUCCAGGGGAGAAGAGGACGGGUGUCUGGGGAACAGUGGGGUGAGCCCGGAUUGUCUUGUGGCCUGCAGGAUUAUUUUUUGUUUGCCUUUUUUGUUUUGGACUGCUGUUAUGCUCAGAAGAGAGGGAGCUGUGUUUCUAGGACUUACUGCAGGAGGAACACAUCCUGGACUCCAAACUGGCACUACAGUGAUGUCUACAUACAAGGAAGGAUGUCUGGGAUGAGAGAGGUUCCUAGGGUUCCAGGUAACACCUUUCCCAGAAUGACAUUAUCAUGUAAAUGAAGAGUCAUCUUCUGGACUAAGUACAACAGUAUCAGACUCACUGAGGGAAGGAAGGGCACCUAAGAGAUCAUUUAGUGUCAGUGAAAGCCUUCAGAAUUUGAGGUCAAAGCAACAGAGGAUCAGAGAUGCAUGGAGAUGCAUAAGGACUCCUCCAGGUGACUGGAAAAGCACAAGAAGUCUGAGGAGAACUGAAGAAAGGAGGACAAGGAGAUGGAGGAGAAGCUGCAGGCUAGCAUCUCAUGCAUGAUCAUGAGAUGAAGGAGUGAGAUAUGGCAUUUCAGAGGACAUUAUUUGGGCUCAUGAGCCAUGAGGGCAAAUCCAUAGUGUGCAUAAGCACCAUGACUCUACUUCAGGGUUGCCGUGUCCUACAGCCUAUGAACCGAAUGCCUGAAGGAACCAAUCAAUGAGCCAUGGAACCUCAGACCAUCAUCAGAUCUGUGCACUCUACACCUGUUCCAAUUCAGGGGAAAGAGAACAGAUAAACUAAUGUUUAGUUUUCUUAUUAGUGACAAGUUUUUGUUAUGUCUUAUGUUUGCAUGUUUGAACCACAUUAGGGCAGUGGGUUUGCCCACAUUUUUAGCAUGAAUCAAUUUCAAUAAAA